RNAcentral lists this long non-coding RNA (7933 nucleotides) under Mytilus galloprovincialis (Mediterranean mussel). Lineage: Eukaryota; Metazoa; Mollusca; Bivalvia; Mytilida; Mytilidae. The record is from RNAcentral.
GUGGGAGAAUGACAUCACAUCUGAUACUUCUCUGACGUUGUCGUUUAAGGUAAGAUGUUUCCCGUCAUCAUACACACGACGAAAGGACGAGCUGAUGUAUCAAUACUUCCGAACCUACUACAUAGUCACAUACAUCAUAUGAAGUAAGUUCUUUGAAUUGGUUAAGUGAAAGUUUCCGUUUAGUUGUAUUUUAAUAUGGAAUGUUUGAUUCAUUAUGAUAUGCAUUAAAGCGAAAUGAAAUGAUUUAUAAUGAUCAUCGUAUAUUCUAUUUUAAUAUUUGCGACGGGGACGUAUCCCACUUAGGACUUAGACUUUCUUCCAAAAAACGGAGUACAUGUACUUAGUUGCACUUAAACAUUAAUGAUGAAUGUCGGAAACAUCAGUCAAUUGUUCAUUUCCUGUAUUCAAAGUUUACGAAUUUAGUUAAACAUCUAUAACUUUUAAGAUGAAAUCAUAGACUGUUGUAUGAUUAAUCCUCAGUGGCAAAUAUUUCAUGCAUACCGCUUAAAAUGACAUGAUUUCUUACAUCAAUGUUAGAAUGUACAUAUUUUUUAAAAAGCUUCAACAAAGCAGUUCUUUCUCCAAAAUGCCAAUACUGGGCAUGUUGCGUGUAUUUAGUGUUCAAUGAACACUUCAAUAUAAUAUAAGAGAGAGUACUGUAUCAGUGUGACUAUUUACCACAAGAGUUCAAAUGACUGACGAGUAUAUAAGCGAUUAAAGGUCACCAUACGCAUACGGCCUUCAACAAUGAAACAACUUAUACCGUAUAGUCGGUUAUAAAAGGGCUUCGACAUAAAAAUGUGAAACAAAUGGAUAUGAUAUAUUUGGUCUUAUAUUACCUUUGUAUCAUGAUACUUAUUUACACAAAUUUAUUUCUGCUGUGUAAACCGCCCAGUUUGUAUCAUAUUUAUCUAAUAAAUAAACCUCCAUCUCAUGUAAUUGGUAUUACAAUCAAAUUUUGGUUUUUCGUGUUUACCUACAUGUAGGCGUUGACUGUUAUCACGAUCAACGUGCAGAGUGCAAUUUUUCUGUCUUUUAUCAAAGUCAAAGUUGACAGUGGACUGAAUAAACAUAAUGGUGCAAGUCUUUGAUAUUAAUAAGAGUUCCUAAAUAAAAUAUACCUACAAAAUAUAUUGUAAAACUUUUUUACAUGUAAAAACUAUAGUGUUUUGGAUCUUCUUAUUAUCUAACUUUCAGACUUGAAGUAUUUUAACACCACUGGUGAUGGAUCAGCUAACGUUUUCGGUGCGCACAUGAGAUUCCCUGGUUUUAAAAAGAUUGUGUUGUUUCUUAGUCCUUAAUAUUCUAUGUAGGGUUUUUAUGUACUUUUGUUUGAUUUUUGUUAGUGUUGAUGCGACUUGAUGGUCAGUGUAACUUCAUACUUUUACUAAAGAGGUCAAUAUAUGAACAUUUAAACUUGCAGAAAUAUAUAUUUUUAUUUCAUUGGUAUCAGCACAGUUUUACUUUUUGAACUAUUGAACCAAUAAAGGGCUUCAUGUUAAGAUAUCAAUGUGAAAUUCUAAGGAUGUCUAUUUCCAAGAAGUAAGAAAAGUUCACGGCUGGUUAAGUACAUCUAGUAUCGUUUACAUUUUGCGCGUAUAUCAUUUGUAAUGUUAACAAUUUAUGUAUACUAUUAGUUUAUAUUCAAUUCAAUUCAAAUCUUUAUUGCCAUAAAACUACAUAUUUAUAGUAUGUGACACAACAUAACGAAAUGAAAAUUUAUAUAAAUCUUUUGUGAAGUUGUAGAACAUGCCGAAUUUUCACAAUGUAUAAAACUCGGUAUAAAAUCUAUUCAAUUUUAAGACUGCAUUUUGACCAGUAGAUACCUCAAUAUUAUUUUGCGUUUAAUUGCUUUACCAUAGCCCACGUUCUGUUCUAUUUAUAGAGGAAAUUAGUUACAUGAACUAUGCGCUUGGCAGCUGUGGAAUUUUUUUUUAUAUAUAUAUUUUCUCAUAUGUCAACAGGAUAUACUUUAAAUUUUAAAACGAAUCACAAUUUGGGGAUUUAAUUUAAAUAUAUUGUAAAAUCACGAUCUAUAUCACGUAAAGACUGUAUGUUUGUGGGGGAUGGUAGGGGAAGGGGUGUAACAUCGAAAUGUCAACUUUAGACAUCCACUUAAGUUAAUAACAUAAUGUUGAAGUUUAUAGAAAAAUGAGCAAAUUUUCAAAAAUCACUGUUUUAAAUUAUAUGACAUUCAAAAUCUUGUAAAUAUUUCACUACUCGAUCAAUUUCUGAUCUAAGAUUUACAAAUAAUUUUAAAAGCUGCUCUUGAAGAAACCUAAAGCCAUUUGAAGGUUUAUUCACACGACUGAUGUAUGCUUGUAGCAUUAUACAAGGGAGAAACCAAGCUUGGAAUAAUCAAACCAAAAAGCAAUUUACAUGAUUCAGUUACAUCGAAACAUUGCAUCUUAUUGCAUUAAUCCGAUAUAAAUGUAGCACACUGUUUUUAUCCAUGAUGGUGUGCUUUAUAUAUCAGGUAUUUUUCAAGUUCUCAACAAUUUGACACUGGCAAGAUUUUCUCGUCAUAGUCUGCUUGCAUCGAGUGACAAAAAAGACCGACUUCAAACUUAUUAUGUGCUGCUUCUCCAUUUGGGGGAGGGCGGGGGUAAAAGCUAGACUUAGAGGUCCAGCGUGAGCAGAGCAGGAUGAUUAUAUCUUCGAAUAGAUUUUUGCCUUGUGAGUUUGCGACUUAUCUAUCAACCAAAUAACAUUGAUGGCCUAUAGCACAGCAGAAUACUUCAAUCUCGCAUUUCAAUACUUACUGCUACACGUUAAGCAUCUACUCCUUAAUCAUCAUAAUAAAACAAAUGUUUUAUGGAGCGUACAUGAUUAAACUUCAUUACGAAAUAUAUUUCGAGCCCGUUGAAAAUAUUCAAAGAUUCUUUCAUUUUAAAGGAAUAUUCCUGUUUUCAGUUCUAACACAAAGGUUUCUGGUUCGAUUCCCGUUCCGGGAUGAAAAUUUCAUGAACUGAAUUUUCGACUCUCCCUUGACACCAUUUGCGAGUACGAUGAUAGUCCGUUGGAAGGGGACGAUAAAUGUCUGACCCGUGUUAAGAGAGGGCCAUAGCUCUUGCACAUUAAAGAAACCCUUGUAGAUUUUCGAAAAAGAGCAGGCUAAUGCCGCUACAAGGCAGCACUCGCACCCAUAAAGUGGAAAGGGAUUAAUAUAAGUUGCAAAACUUGUUUCCCAAUUCACUUUAAAUAAAUAUGUUUCAACCUUUCAGUUGACAUCACAGAUUUUGAUCCUCUGACUUUUCAUUCGAUAGAGAUAAAGAUGAUAAAAUGAAAAAUUCAGAGGAUCAUAAAAAUGACAAAAAAACGAUCUGAGAUAUAUAUUGAAAACCUUUACAAUAUUGUGAAUAAUAACGAAAGUCGUUUUGUGAGCUCAAUAAAUAAUACUAAUUUAUACGUAUGUUUCUUUUUUUAUGAUUGGGACUGUUUUAUUGUCUGUGGCAUGCAUGAAAGUGGACAAUUCUUUAUAUAUAGGUGGUAUAAUAUUAAUACAGGUUCACUUUAUAUGAAAUGUACUACAGAGGGAUCUAAAAUUUGUGGUCUUUUAACAUAGGUGUUUGCUGAAUACAUGUGGUCUCUUUAAGUCAUAAGAAACGAGUGACUGUGAAAAAUAAUGUUCUUCCAAUUCUUGAACCAAUGCAUACAAACAUCAUAAACUUAGUCUUCUGUGUACGAAUUUAUCAUUUUUUUCGUGUAAAUUUCGUAUAAUCGUCAAUUUUUUUUUUCAAUCGGUCAGUGUUGUGAAAAUAUGGCAGGUAAUUAAAGUUCGUGUUUUGAAGCCGAAGUUUAACGAUUGUCACCUGUUUGUCAACAAUGGACAAAAAAAUCAACAAAAAAGCAGGGAAAUUGAGCACGUCUUUAACAUGUAAAUUCAGAUAAUAGUUUAUUUUAAGGACAUCCAUUCGUAUUGUGAUCACCGGAUUGUUACGAGAUGGGUCACACUGAGGUCACUUUGCAUACGGAAAAUAUGUCGGGCAAUUAAAAUAAAGUAAACUUCUUCUAAAUAUGAAUAAAUUAAAGAAUUUUCUUCAGAAAAAAAGUUAUGUACAUAAGUUUUAUAAUGAAAACUAUCCAUUGAGUUAUAAAAAAACAGAUGUAUCAUUUUUUUUUUAUUUGAGGUUUCUUAUGACUUUAAGCAGGUUUGACUGUAAUUUCUAAUAAUUUCAUUUCUGUUCCAUAAAGAAGAAGAUGUUUCUCGAUAAAAAUUUAGAAGGAAAACUGAAAUUCGACUGGCUAUUUACACUCAAAAGUAUAGGUAAUUCAUGACCUUUAAAUGUCGGUUACAGCAGUCAUUCAUUAUUGUUCAUUUCCUCUAAUAAGAAUAACACGCGUUCAGUUUUUUUGAUAUUACAAACAGGAUCAAAACUUUUAAAUCCGCUUAAGAAUAUUUAUACCGUGAAUUCAUAGUUCUGAAAAUAUUAUUAUGCGCCUUUGCAUGUGUUUUUAAGAAAGGAGUUUUGUUUACGAUGAUCAAGUUCACUACUGAUAUUCAGUAUUCAGUAGUAAAUUUAUAACCAAUAAAGAUGCAGCGCCAAAUUUCCUUGGUUUUGCUUCCCUCACAUGGUAAUAAGCGGUAAUUUUUCUGAAAAGUACCGAUAUUUAAAUUUGGCAGAACUUGAAAGAAAAGUACCGAUAAUUAAAUUUGACAGAGCCUCAAAAACAUACUUUGAAGGCCGUACAUUGACCUAUAAUGGUUUACUUUUAUGAAUUGUUAUUUGGAUGGAGAGUUGCCUCAUUGGCACUCAUACCACAUCUUCUUAUAUCUAUUUGAAGAUCUUUUUCAAUAUAUAUUCAGAGAAUAAAAACGUUUUCAAUCGCUUCCCUUUAUUAUCAAUUUGGAAUCAAUAUUACAUAUUUAGUAAAAAUAUUCUGUCAUCGAAGAACGUUAAUUAAAAUGACUCCAAAUAACUCACCAAAGAAACUGUGCUAAAAAAUUAAUACGCCAGACGCGCUUUCGUCUGCAAAAGACUCAUCGGUGACUUUUGAAUAAAAAAUUGAAGAGCAUGGAGUACCCACAACUCUGAAAGGAAUCAUUUGUGUCUUAUACAGUUUUUUGCUUUUAAGAAUUGCCGGUUUUUUAAAGAACAGUCAAUAUCUAUAAACUACCGAACAACCCUACGUCUUUCACCAGAUUUAAUUUUCUAUGAGGAUUCUAAUGCGUUAAGACGUACAUAUUCGAUCGUACUUUGUACAUUCAACCAUGAUAAUUUGUUUUUUAAAUAAGAUACUUUUUACUUUAAUAAUCCGCCCAGUUUAUAUCAUAUUAUCAUGUAAAUCACUCUCCAACCUACUUAUCAAGUCUUAAAUAUAGAGUUUUCGUAUUUAUCGUAGGUGUGGAAUGAAACCACGUUCGCUUUUCAAAGUACAAGUUUUCGUUUUUUUGAGUACAUGUGAAUAAACUCAUCACAAAAGCCAGGCUUGGAAACUCAAAAGCUAGAUACGCGUUUCGUCUGCAUAAGACUCGUCAGUAAUGCUAGAACUGUGAAAGUAAAAAGGCCCAAAAAAAAGUACGAAGCUAGAGAUCAUUUAGGAUCCAAAAUUCAAAGAGAUGUUGCACCCAAGGUUAUCUAUGUAGAAAAUAAUGUACGAACAUCCGGGAGUAUUAAACGUUCGAAAAUUACUGUGUAAAAAUAUGUAGUAUUGAUAGUAAAUCUUCUUGAAAUACCAGUAUAUUACUAGAAGAAAUCAUAAUGGAAAACGUUAUUAUAAAAAUAAAAUUUUAAUUUUAUCAUCGGUAUGACAAACACGAUUGAUCCCAUAAGUUGAAUAGAUCUUCAAUUUUCUGUGAAGUAUUUUAUAGACUAUUGGUUUUUUUUUCGUCUAAAUCUGCUUGGAAACGCUGUUGUCUUUUUCUUCUACUUUUGAUUUUUUAUUGUUCUCUUAAUCUCCGUUGUCUCUUUUCAAAUUGGAUCUAGAAAAAUCAAAAUCGUCCAAGUCAUCUUUACCACAAUCUGAACAAUAACCCUAUGUUACAGCCAUGCGACAUAAUUCUGUCCUCAAAACAUUCAACGGUGGUUUGGUAAAAAUAAAUGAGCAUGUAGCUUUGAUCUCUCUUGAAUUAUAUCCUGCAAUUUCUCAUGACAAUCAAUCCUACCGUGCAUUUUAAAUGUCACGUAAUCGACAUUGUACACCACAAGCCUCUCGUAUAUCUAGUAAGCAUAAAAGAAACCCCUUAAGUACCCCUUUGCCACAUCCGUCAGUUUAGAUACAUAUAUUAAUGGCUGUAAUGUUGCAGAAAGGCCGGACGUCCUUCUGCUUGUAGGUAGUUUCCCUUAAGAUGUAUUUUCCUCAUUUGGUUUACUAUUAUUUUCCCGUCAAAAAGUUAAACAAUUUUACUCUUGUUAAACACUAUCAUAAUAUCUACGGUUAGGCUUAGACCAUUAAAUUUGAUGCCAACUUUAAUUAUGAGUUAUAAGUUUUGCUAAACUAUAGUACUAUGUACUAUGCGCAUUUCAAUUACAUUACUUUGAUAUAAAUUAAUGAAAAUAUAUACAAACAUGGACCAAUUAAAGGGUGGAACACACUCUAUGUGUGAUAAUAUUAUCUGAAAUAUAGUUGCGUGCUUUUCGCGUUCUGAUCUUAACUAGUUUUUCUUUGUUGGUCUUUUGUAUGUUUAUGAAUUGUGUUAUCUGUUAUCUGUUUUACCGUGUUAAAAGCGAUCUGUCCUUUUCAUGUUUUGAUACUUAUUGUAUAUUCUUUAAUAAGUCUUGUACUCAAAUCGAGAUACAAAAGAAUCGGUUGAGAUUUGAAUUAUCCAGCAGAUUUUCGCCCCAUAUUUUGUGCCUUUUCUUAGUUCAGAAUUUCGUCAGUAGAUCGUUUUUUUGUCACAUGGAUUGAUUUCGAUGUUUUUUUGUGUGUGUUUUUUUUUCCAUUCGAGAAUCAGGCAUUUCUGGUAGAUCUCUAUUGAAAACCUUUUGUUUUAAUUGGGAAGUGUUUUAGCUUAAAUUGAUAAUUUGCUUUGAUAACCAUCUAUUUAUGAAGACCAUUAGUUGACCUCCUAGAUAUUUGUUUAUGUUGUUGAGUUUCUUUUUCAUUGUCAUAUGACCCAUAUCGUCUUUUGUUCGUAUUGGGUCGCUGCUUUGAAUGCUUUGAAUGCUGAACAUGUAUUUAUUUAACUAUUUUUACGAAAUGUCCAUGCAAAAUAUAGCAUCUGUGUGCAUUUAUACUCUUACUCGAGUAUUUAUAACUUUGCUGACUUUUUACGUCAUGUGUGUCCAUUAGUCUUAAUAUUGAUAAAACCUUUGCCCUAUCGUUAGGCCUAUUUAUCUCUAAGCUUAUACGUUUUGAUUGUGCAUGUUCACACUAUACGGACUAAGAUCACCGUCAGUUGUUUUUCUUUGUUAUGUUGUAUUCUGUUGUAUGUUCGUGAUUCGUAAGUUUUCGUUUAUUGCCAUUUCAUUGUCUUCAAAUAAUGAGUGAAAUAUCUUUGUUAUCUGCCGUCUCUUUUCGGCAAACCCGACUGCAAUCGAUUUUCUAAGUUUUUGUUUUUACCUUGAAUUAGAAUCUUUCAGUGAAUCUAUGAAAUUUGACCAUCAGUAAUCAAAUGUUCCCUGUUAUUGAUCAUAAAGGUCUUAUAUUCAUUCAUAAACAUACUAGAUUUUACAUUUUGAAUUAGCUUUUUGUGAAAGUUUAAGGUUGUACAAAACAACUCUGCUUACGCAUUUUUGUUAAUUUUAUUAGGUACACGUAGGGUUCAAUUUCACUGAGGACAAAGAACUGUACAAUUUAAAAAAUAUUUUAAUAUCAUGUUUGUUUCCUGAUUAUUUUUCAUCGCAGUAUGAUGCAACUCUACUUAAACAUAACAAUAUACUGACCUUUAUUCUUUCAUUUUUAUACAGGUGUGACGCAUUUCGUGGUAGUAAUACCUUUUACCUGUGAUUGGUUGAACUACACAAAAUAGCUUAAACAUGUUAAAUACAAC